RNAcentral lists this ribosomal RNA (785 nucleotides) under bacterium LFM6. RNAcentral describes it as "bacterial SSU rRNA". It matches the Rfam family "Bacterial small subunit ribosomal RNA", at positions 63 to 846 of the family's 1533-position model. The record is from RNAcentral.
CGAGCGGUAACAUUUCUAGCUUGCUAGAAGAUGACGAGCGGCGGACGGGUGAGUAAUGCUUGGGAACAUGCCUUUAGGUGGGGGACAACCAUUGGAAACGAUGGCUAAUACCGCAUAAUGUCUACGGACCAAAGGGGGCUUCGGCUCUCGCCUUUAGAUUGGCCCAAGUGGGAUUAGCUAGUUGGUGAGGUAAUGGCUCACCAAGGCGACGAUCCCUAGCUGGUUUGAGAGGAUGAUCAGCCACACUGGAACUGAGACACGGUCCAGACUCCUACGGGAGGCAGCAGUGGGGAAUAUUGCACAAUGGGCGCAAGCCUGAUGCAGCCAUGCCGCGUGUGUGAAGAAGGCCUUCGGGUUGUAAAGCACUUUCAGUUGUGAGGAAAGGUUAGUAGUUAAUACCUGCUAGCUGUGACGUUAGCAACAGAAGAAGCACCGGCUAACUCCGUGCCAGCAGCCGCGGUAAUACGGAGGGUGCGAGCGUUAAUCGGAAUUACUGGGCGUAAAGCGUACGCAGGCGGUUUGUUAAGCGAGAUGUGAAAGCCCCGGGCUCAACCUGGGAACUGCAUUUCGAACUGGCAAACUAGAGUGUGAUAGAGGGUGGUAGAAUUUCAGGUGUAGCGGUGAAAUGCGUAGAGAUCUGAAGGAAUACCGAUGGCGAAGGCAGCCACCUGGGUCAACACUGACGCUCAUGUACGAAAGCGUGGGGAGCAAACGGGAUUAGAUACCCCGGUAGUCCACGCCGUACACGAUGUCUACUAGGAGUUCGGUUUUUCGGAACUGUCUUC